This 84-nucleotide transfer RNA is filed under the name Elusimicrobiota bacterium. Its description in RNAcentral is "Elusimicrobia bacterium (groundwater metagenome) tRNA-Leu". It matches the Rfam family "tRNA". From Rfam's summary of the family: Transfer RNA (tRNA) molecules are approximately 80 nucleotides in length. Their secondary structure includes four short double-helical elements and three loops (D, anti-codon, and T loops). Further hydrogen bonds mediate the characteristic L-shaped molecular structure. tRNAs have two regions of fundamental functional importance: the anti-codon, which is responsible for specific mRNA codon recognition, and the 3' end, to which the tRNAs corresponding amino acid is attached (by aminoacyl-tRNA synthetases). tRNAs cope with the degeneracy of the genetic code in two manners: having more than one tRNA (with a specific anti-codon) for a particular amino acid; and 'wobble' base-pairing, i.e. permitting non-standard base-pairing at the 3rd anti-codon position. Lineage: Bacteria; Pseudomonadati; Elusimicrobiota. The record is from RNAcentral.
GGGCGGGUGGCGGAAUUGGCAGACGCGUACGGCUCAGGACCGUAUGGCCGCAAGGCCUUGAGGGUUCAAAUCCCUCCUCGCCCA